GUAGGUGGGCAAGCGUUGUCCGGAAUUAUUGGGCGUAAAGCGCGCGCAGGCGGUCCUUUAAGUCUGAUGUGAAAGCCCACGGCUCAACCGUGGAGGGUCAUUGGAAACUGGGGGACUUGAGUACGGAAGAGGAAAGCGGAAUUCCAAGUGUAGCGGUGAAAUGCGUAGAGAUUUGGAGGAACACCAGUGGCGAAGGCGGCUUUCUGGUCUGUAACUGACGCUGAGGCGCGAAAGCGUGGGGAGCAAACAGGAUUAGAUACCCUGGUAGUCCACGCCGUAAACGAUGAGUGCUAAGUGUUAGGGGGUUUCCGCCCCUUAGUGCUGCAGCUAACGCAUUAAGCACUCCGCCUGGGGAGUACGGCCGCAAGGCUG
RNAcentral lists this ribosomal RNA (372 nucleotides) under uncultured organism. Its description in RNAcentral is "partial 16S ribosomal RNA". It matches the Rfam family "Bacterial small subunit ribosomal RNA", at positions 526 to 896 of the family's 1533-position model. The record is from RNAcentral.